GGUUAAGCGACUAAGCGUACACGGUGGAUGCCCUGGCAGUCAGAGGCGAUGAAGGACGUGCUAAUCUGCGAUAAGCGCCGGUAAGGUGAUAUGAACCGUUAUAACCGGCGAUUUCCGAAUGGGGAAACCCAGUGUGACUCGUCACACUAUCAUUAACUGAAUCCAUAGGUUAAUGAGGCGAACCGGGGGAACUGAAACAUCUAAGUACCCCGAGGAAAAGAAAUCAACCGAGAUUCCCCCAGUAGCGGCGAGCGAACGGGGAGGAGCCCAGAGCCUGAAUCAGCAUGUGUGUUAGUGGAAGCGUCUGGAAAGGCGCGCGAUACAGGGUGACAGCCCCGUACACAAAAGCGCAUGUGCUGUGAGCUCGAUGAGUAGGGCGGGACACGUGGUAUCCUGUCUGAAUAUGGGGGGACCAUCCUCCAAGGCUAAAUACUCCUGACUGACCGAUAGUGAACCAGUACCGUGAGGGAAAGGCGAAAAGAACCCCGGCGAGGGGAGUGAAAAAGAACCUGAAACCGUGUACGUACAAGCAGUGGGAGCCCCACCACUAAGCCAGUGGUGAACUCCACAUACGCAUCCUUUGCUGAUGGCAAUGGUUAACGGAGCGAAAGCGACGUUCAACCGCAAAACAAGCAGAGGGGGCUUAGUGGUGGGGUGACUGCGUACCUUUUGUAUAAUGGGUCAGCGACUUAUAUUCUGUAGCAAGGUUAACCGUAUAGGGGAGCCGCAGGGAAACCGAGUCUUAACCGGGCGUUAAGUUGCAGGGUAUAGACCCGAAACCCGGUGAUCUAGCCAUGGGCAGGUUGAAGGUUGGGUAACACUAACUGGAGGACCGAACCGACUAAUGUUGAAAAAUUAGCGGAUGACCUGUGGCUGGGGGUGAAAGGCCAAUCAAACCGGGAGAUAGCUGGUUCUCCCCGAAAGCUAUUUAGGUAGCGCCUCGUGAAUUCAUCUCCGGGGGUAGAGCACUGUUUCGGCUAGGGGGCCAUCCCGGCUUACCAACCCGAUGCAAACUGCGAAUACCGGAGAAUGUUAUCACGGGAGACACACGGCGGGUGCUAACGUCCGUCGUGAAGAGGGAAACAACCCAGACCGCCAGCUAAGGUCCCAAAGUCAUGGUUAAGUGGGAAACGAUGUGGGAAGGCCCAGACAGCCAGGAUGUUGGCUUAGAAGCAGCCAUCAUUUAAAGAAAGCGUAAUAGCUCACUGGUCGAGUCGGCCUGCGCGGAAGAUGUAACGGGGCUAAACCAUGCACCGAAGCUGCGGCAGCGACACUCAGGUGUUGUUGGGUAGGGGAGCGUUCUGUAAGCCUGCGAAGGUGGCCUGUGAGGGUUGCUGGAGGUAUCAGAAGUGCGAAUGCUGACAUAAGUAACGAUAAAGCGGGUGAAAAGCCCGCUCGCCGGAAGACCAAGGGUUCCUGUCCAACGUUAAUCGGGGCAGGGUGAGUCGACCCCUAAGGCGAGGCCGAAAGGCGUAGUCGAUGGGAAACGGGUUAAUAUUCCCGUACUUGGUGUUACUGCGAAGGGGGGACGGAGAAGGCUAUGUUGGCCGGGCGACGGUUGUCCCGGUUUAAGCGUGUAGGUGUGUGUUCCAGGUAAAUCCGGUUCACUUUAACACUGAGGCGUGACGACGAGGCACUACGGUGCUGAAGCAACAAAUGCCCUGCUUCCAGGAAAAGCCUCUAAGCAUCAGGUAACAUCAAAUCGUACCCCCCAAACCGACACAGGUGGUCAGGUAGAGAAUACCAAGGCGCUUGAGAGAACUCGGGUGAAGGAACUAGGCAAAAUGGUGCCGUAACUUCGGGAGAAGGCACGCUGACACGUAGGUGAAGUGAUUUACUCAUGGAGCUGAAGUCAGUCGAAGAUACCAGCUGGCUGCAACUGUUUAUUAAAAACACAGCACUGUGCAAACACGAAAGUGGACGUAUACGGUGUGACGCCUGCCCGGUGCCGGAAGGUUAAUUGAUGGGGUCAGCGCAAGCGAAGCUCCUGAUCGAAGCCCCGGUAAACGGCGGCCGUAACUAUAACGGUCCUAAGGUAGCGAAAUUCCUUGUCGGGUAAGUUCCGACCUGCACGAAUGGCGUAAUGAUGGCCAGGCUGUCUCCACCCGAGACUCAGUGAAAUUGAACUCGCUGUGAAGAUGCAGUGUACCCGCGGCAAGACGGAAAGACCCCGUGAACCUUUAACUAGUAGCUUGACACUGAACAUUGAGCCUUGAGUGUAGGAUAGGUGGGAGGCUUUGAAGUGUGGACGCCAGUCUGCAUGGAGCCGACCUUGAAAUACCACCCUUUAAUGUUUGAUGUUCUAAGUGGACCCGUAAUCCGGGUUGCGGACAGUGUCUGGUGGGUAGUUUGACUGGGGCGGUCUCCUCCUAAAGAGUAACGGAGGAGCACGAAGGUUGGCUAAUCUGUCGGACAUCAGGAGGUUAGUGCAAUGGCAUAAGCCAGCUUGACUGCGAGCGUGACGGCGCGAGCAGGUGCGAAAGCAGGUCAUAGUGAUCGGUGGUUCUGAAUGGAAGGGCCAUCGCUCAACGGAUAAAAGGUACUCCGGGGGAUAACAGGCUGAUACCGCCCAAGAGUUCAUAUCGACGGCGGUGUUUGGCACCUCGAUGUCGGCUCAUCACAUCCUGGGGCUGAAGUAAGGUCCCAAGGGUAUGGCUGUUCGCCAUUUAAAGUGGUACGCGAGAGGGGUUUAGAACGUCGUGAGACCAGUUCGGUCCCUAUCUGCCGUGGGCGCUGGAGAACUGAGGGGGGCUGCUCCUAGUACGAGAGGACCGGAGGGGGACGAUCACUGGUGUUCGGGUUGUCAUGCCAAUGGCAGCCCGGUAGCUAAAUGCGGAAGAGAUAAGUGCUGAAAGCAUCUAAGCACGAAACUUGCCCCGAGAUGAGUUCUCCCUGAGACUUAAAGUCUCCUGAAGGAACGUUGAAGACGACGACGUUGAUAGGCCGGGUGUGUAAGCGCAGCGAUGCGUUGAGCUAACCGGUACUAAUGAACCGUGAGGCUUAACCUU
Molecule: ribosomal RNA, 3008 nt
Filed under: Salmonella enterica subsp. enterica serovar Indiana
Lineage: Bacteria; Pseudomonadati; Pseudomonadota; Gammaproteobacteria; Enterobacterales; Enterobacteriaceae
Description: 23S ribosomal RNA
Rfam family: Bacterial large subunit ribosomal RNA
Source: RNAcentral